Molecule: ribosomal RNA, 257 nt
Filed under: uncultured bacterium
Lineage: Bacteria
Description: partial 16S ribosomal RNA
Rfam family: Bacterial small subunit ribosomal RNA
Source: RNAcentral
UGGCGGACGGUGAGUAACGCGUGGGUAACCUACCUCACACAGGGGGAUAACAGUUGGAAACGACCGCUAAUACCGCAUAAGCCGGAAGGAUCGCAUGAUCCGGCCGGAAAAGAUUUAUCGGUGUGAGAUGGACCCGCGUCUGAUUAGCCAGUUGGCAGGGUAACGGCCUACCAAAGCGACGAUCAGUAGCCGGCCUGAGAGGGUGAACGGCCACAUUGGGACUGAGACACGGCCCAAACUCCUACGGGAGGCAGCAG